RNAcentral lists this ribosomal RNA (301 nucleotides) under uncultured bacterium. RNAcentral describes it as "partial 16S ribosomal RNA". It matches the Rfam family "Bacterial small subunit ribosomal RNA", at positions 509 to 808 of the family's 1533-position model. The record is from RNAcentral.
CAGUCGCCGCGGGAAUACGUAGGUCCCGAGCGUUGUCCGGAUUUAUUGGGCGUAAAGCGAGCGCAGGCGGUUAGAUAAGUCUGAAGUUAAAGGCUGUGGCUUAACCAUAGUACGCUUUGGAAACUGUUUAACUUGAGUGCAAGAGGGGAGAGUGGAAUUCCUUGUGUAGCGGUGAAAUGCGUAGAUAUAUGGAGGAACACCGGUGGUGAAAGCGGCUCUCUGGCUUGUAACUGACGCUGAGGCUCGAAAGCGUGGGGAGCAAACAGGAUUAGAUACCCGCGUAGUCCCUGUCUCUUAUACA